UGGUGAAAGAAAGUGAUCUGUCCUAACCAGGAAGACAACGCUGAGGGUGGCGGAUGUUUGCUAUGAGGUGGUGUAUGUACGUGCUGCACCUCAUGGCCGUGGCCUGCUUCCUGCAAGCCAAUUUACUGCUUCUUCCGAGGUCAUAUAGUGAUGCUAUGGCACUGAGAAUCUGAAGGUUAGUAAUUCUAUUCUAUUCUUCUCUAUUAAGAACAGUGUUAUUUUUCAUGAUUUAGUGACUGCUGAGUGCUAAUAAAUUAAUUCAAUCAUAUUGGGCCAUCUGUUAUAGAGCUAAACGAACCAUCUGAAGUGGGAUGCAUUGCA
This is a non-coding RNA of Triticum urartu, 321 nucleotides long. The record is from RefSeq and is a predicted model, not a curated record. NCBI's taxonomy places the organism in Eukaryota, Viridiplantae, Streptophyta, Magnoliopsida, Poales, Poaceae.